This 1133-nucleotide long non-coding RNA is filed under the name Cicer arietinum (chickpea). Its description in RNAcentral is "long non-coding RNA (CARI_LNC002953)". Lineage: Eukaryota; Viridiplantae; Streptophyta; Magnoliopsida; Fabales; Fabaceae. The record is from RNAcentral.
AAAUAGUAUGUAUAUAAUUAAUUAUGUGUUGUGUGUGUGCGUGUUGUGUUGUGUUGUGUGUGUGUGUGUGUGUGUUGUGUGUGUGCGCGCGCGCGCGUGUGUGUGUGUCUUGUGACUUUAAUGUAGGUUGUAUAGGGCAUGGAAAAGAAAAGGCAGAGGUUAUUUCUCUAUGGUGGAUUAGUUCCACAAUUCAAACCAUUUAUUCUUAUUCUCUAAAUCAUAUCCAUGGCACCAUAAUGACUAUAGUGGCGAUCCUUGGAGUCUCAAUGGCAUUCUAGCAGCUGAACAAAAACAAGGGUGGAAAUCAAAGGAGACAUGGCCAACUGAACCUUGGUCAAGACACUCUAGCCUUUGGCGGACUGAAUGACUUGGGUUUCAUGGGGCACCCCUUUACUUGGACAAAUGGUAGAGAAGGGGACGAAAGUAUACAAUGUAGACUUGACAAGGCAAUGGGAAAUGAGGGUUUCAUCAAAGAUUUUCCCCAUUAAAAGUCAUCUUUCCCAUUUUAGUUUGGACCAUGUUGUCCUCCAAAUUUCUCGAGGUCUACCCUCAAGAAGAAAAGAAAAAGGCCCACCUGUUUCAUUUUAAAGAGUGCUGAAUGGAAGAAAAUAAUUGUGAGUCUUUGAUUCAUCGUUACUACAGUGGGACCAAUUGAAGCACUAUCAUAAAACUGAACUUCCUCCAAGCUCUAAAUGCCAAUUUCAAACACCUAAAGACAAAUAAGCUCAUGUAAGACAUUAUCAAAAUUGAAGAACUUUUGAGGAACUCAGAAUAGUGGGACGUGUCCAAUGAGGACAUUCUCUAAUACAAAGGGUUGGAAAGGCAACAUGUUGAUCUACUUCAAAAAGAGAAAACCAUGUGGAGACAACACAAUAGGGUGGCUAAAAGGUGGUGAUAAAAAUUCAACACAAUAAAAGAAACUUAAAGAUGGUGAAGGCAUCUGGUGGCAAGACCAAGAAAAGGUAGAAGGAGUUCUAAUGGAUUUCUUUGCUAAUCGUUUUACCUCUUCUAACCCGUUUGGAAUGGAUAAUAAUUUUGAAUCAAUACAAAAGAGGUUAUCUGAGGAGCAAAUGGAUUGGUGUGAUAGACCGUACAACAGAGAAGAGAUGAAGGAAGCCAUUGAUCAAAUGUAC